Molecule: ribosomal RNA, 2011 nt
Filed under: human gut metagenome
Description: bacterial LSU rRNA
Rfam family: Bacterial large subunit ribosomal RNA
Source: RNAcentral
UACCAACCCGAUGCAAACUGCGAAUACCGGAGAAUGUUAUCACGGGAGACACACGGCGGGUGCUAACGUCCGUCGUGAAGAGGGAAACAACCCAGACCGCCAGCUAAGGUCCCAAAGUCAUGGUUAAGUGGGAAACGAUGUGGGAAGGCCCAGACAGCCAGGAUGUUGGCUUAGAAGCAGCCAUCAUUUAAAGAAAGCGUAAUAGCUCACUGGUCGAGUCGGCCUGCGCGGAAGAUGUAACGGGGCUAAACCAUGCACCGAAGCUGCGGCAGCGACACUAUGUGUUGUUGGGUAGGGGAGCGUUCUGUAAGCCUGUGAAGGUGGCCUGUGAGGGUUGCUGGAGGUAUCAGAAGUGCGAAUGCUGACAUAAGUAACGAUAAAGCGGGUGAAAAGCCCGCUCGCCGGAAGACCAAGGGUUCCUGUCCAACGUUAAUCGGGGCAGGGUGAGUCGACCCCUAAGGCGAGGCCGAAAGGCGUAGUCGAUGGGAAACAGGUUAAUAUUCCUGUACUUGGUGUUACUGCGAAGGGGGGACGGAGAAGGCUAUGUUGGCCGGGCGACGGUUGUCCCGGUUUAAGCGUGUAGGCUGGUUUUCCAGGCAAAUCCGGAAAACCAAGGCUGAGGCGUGAUGACGAGGCACUACGGUGCUGAAGCGACAAAUGCCCUGCUUCCAGGAAAAGCCUCUAAGCAUCAGGUAACAUCAAAUCGUACCCCAAACCGACACAGGUGGUCAGGUAGAGAAUACCAAGGCGCUUGAGAGAACUCGGGUGAAGGAACUAGGCAAAAUGGUGCCGUAACUUCGGGAGAAGGCACGCUGAUAUGUAGGUGAAGCGACUUGCUCGUGGAGCUGAAAUCAGUCGAAGAUACCAGCUGGCUGCAACUGUUUAUUAAAAACACAGCACUGUGCAAACACGAAAGUGGACGUAUACGGUGUGACGCCUGCCCGGUGCCGGAAGGUUAAUUGAUGGGGUUAGCGGUAACGCGAAGCUCUUGAUCGAAGCCCCGGUAAACGGCGGCCGUAACUAUAACGGUCCUAAGGUAGCGAAAUUCCUUGUCGGGUAAGUUCCGACCUGCACGAAUGGCGUAAUGAUGGCCAGGCUGUCUCCACCCGAGACUCAGUGAAAUUGAACUCGCUGUGAAGAUGCAGUGUACCCGCGGCAAGACGGAAAGACCCCGUGAACCUUUACUAUAGCUUGACACUGAACAUUGAGCCUUGAUGUGUAGGAUAGGUGGGAGGCUUUGAAGUGUGGACGCCAGUCUGCAUGGAGCCGACCUUGAAAUACCACCCUUUAAUGUUUGAUGUUCUAACGUUGGCCCGUAAUCCGGGUUGCGGACAGUGUCUGGUGGGUAGUUUGACUGGGGCGGUCUCCUCCUAAAGAGUAACGGAGGAGCACGAAGGUUGGCUAAUCCUGGUCGGACAUCAGGAGGUUAGUGCAAUGGCAUAAGCCAGCUUGACUGCGAGCGUGACGGCGCGAGCAGGUGCGAAAGCAGGUCAUAGUGAUCCGGUGGUUCUGAAUGGAAGGGCCAUCGCUCAACGGAUAAAAGGUACUCCGGGGAUAACAGGCUGAUACCGCCCAAGAGUUCAUAUCGACGGCGGUGUUUGGCACCUCGAUGUCGGCUCAUCACAUCCUGGGGCUGAAGUAGGUCCCAAGGGUAUGGCUGUUCGCCAUUUAAAGUGGUACGCGAGCUGGGUUUAGAACGUCGUGAGACAGUUCGGUCCCUAUCUGCCGUGGGCGCUGGAGAACUGAGGGGGGCUGCUCCUAGUACGAGAGGACCGGAGUGGACGCAUCACUGGUGUUCGGGUUGUCAUGCCAAUGGCACUGCCCGGUAGCUAAAUGCGGAAGAGAUAAGUGCUGAAAGCAUCUAAGCACGAAACUUGCCCCGAGAUGAGUUCUCCCUGACUCCUUGAGGGUCCUGAAGGAACGUUGAAGACGACGACGUUGAUAGGCCGGGUGUGUAAGCGCAGCGAUGCGUUGAGCUAACCGGUACUAAUGAACCGUGAGGCUUAACCUU